AUGUCUUAAUCACCUCCUGAGAAAACAGAUGAUAAACUAUAUUUCAACUAAGAGAAAGACUCAUUCCCCUUCAUAGCACUCAUUUCCCUUCUAGUGAAUUCACCAUAACAAAACGGGGCACAAUAUUUUCCCAGGGUUCUCCCUGGGAGGAAGGAAACAGUGCCACCCAACUCCUGAAAGGGCGGCUCCAAUCUCAGUAUUUCUGAUAGUUUUAUUUCUACCCCUAAAUGGGGUAGGACACAGCAUCCUUUGUUCAGUUGCCUUGGACUUUCAAACAGAAGAAUAAAUAUAGAAUAGAAAACAGACAACUCAACCAAAUUAUUUGAAAAAAUAGACUCUCUUAACUGUAAAAAGUUGCGGCCCUACACCGAAGUUCUUGAGCUGGGAAAGAGGAAUGAGCCGAAGAUCAAUAUAAGAGACAAUAAGUACACCCCUCCAUAGUUGACUCCACACAUAACUUUCCAAUUGAAACUCUGUGGUACAGUCCAUAUUUUCUAUAUUUUUGUGAAUUUCACAAAGCAACCCACAAGGCUCUCCUUGAUCUUAGGUGAACACUGUGUUUCUGCACCAUCUGCCUUUGCUUCCUAAAGCAAUGCAGAGGUGUUUAAAGUGCCCUCUGCUGGUCAAGCGGAGAUACUUUGACAAACACACUUUAUGGCAAGUUGAGCUGAACAGUCGACACACAAACGGCCCCCUUCGAGACUUAUGCUUCAAAUUUUAAAUGAUAUAAAAUAUUCACCAUAUUUUUGGCCAAAUCAGAAGACAUUCUUCCUACUUUGAGUCAGCUUCAGAAAUUUUUUGAAAAGGGACUUACGCUCUGGAAUUCAAAAAUCAACUUAUUAAGAGCCAUAUUCUUUUACAAAAAGGUAGAUACUAUAAUAUCUGUAAUAUUUCAGUCCUUUACAAGCCAAAUAAAUGUGUAAACAUUCUUGUAUUUCAAAGAAGCAAUUAUGUCAAGUUGUUCACGGUGAUAAUAGUAUUCUAAUUGGUUAUAUAGCUUAAUGAUUAGACAAACUAGAUAAAAAUUAGGGGCUACUA
Molecule: long non-coding RNA, 1038 nt
Filed under: Capra hircus (goat)
Lineage: Eukaryota; Metazoa; Chordata; Mammalia; Artiodactyla; Bovidae
Description: lncRNA (ENSCHIG00010024277.1)
Source: RNAcentral